Molecule: non-coding RNA, 386 nt
Organism: Peromyscus maniculatus bairdii (prairie deer mouse)
Lineage: Eukaryota; Metazoa; Chordata; Mammalia; Rodentia; Cricetidae
Source: RefSeq, a predicted model, not a curated record
CGUAAGUCCGGGAAGGAAGAAGGAAGACGGGGAGCCAGGAAGGAAGUAGUGGAAGGCAGCGGCAGUGAGUGUGCUCAUUCUGCCUACUUGAGGAUCAAGAUGUGAACGCUCAGCCACCAUGACUCUAACCAUCUGAAACUCUGCCUGUGGAGACCAGAAGAAGGCAUCAGAUCUCCUGGAGCUGGAAUUAUAGAAAGUGAUGAGCCACCAUGCAGGUGGGAAUUGAACUCAGGUCCUAUGGAAGGAAGAGGAGCCAGUGCUCUCAGGUGCUGAACCAUCUCCACCCCAGUGAAAACCAAUCAAAAUAUUUUUAAUCAGACACACUAAGUUUGAUUAAAACUUUGAAGUUAAUUAUUUUACUCAUUGUAACACAGUUUAGUACCACU